This 84-nucleotide small RNA is filed under the name Marmota monax (woodchuck). The record is from RNAcentral. Lineage: Eukaryota; Metazoa; Chordata; Mammalia; Rodentia; Sciuridae.
GCUGGGUGUGGUGAUGCAUGCCUGUAAUUCCAAGCAGCUUGGGAGGCUGAGGCAGGAGGAGCUGAAGUUCAAAUCCAGCCUCAG